RNAcentral lists this unclassified non-coding RNA (273 nucleotides) under Hevea brasiliensis (rubber tree). Lineage: Eukaryota; Viridiplantae; Streptophyta; Magnoliopsida; Malpighiales; Euphorbiaceae. The record is from RNAcentral.
GAAUUGCAUCACCUCCUUCUCAGGAGAGCUAUGCAAUUGGCAGUGCUGCGAAGUCAUCAGGAAUUCUUAGACCUAGCAAGCCUAAAUGGAGGGACCAUUGCUUUGUAGAACUGGAUGAAUCUGAAUUGCUAACGAUUAAGGAUUCUCCAAAUGACCCUCGCCCUCUUCUACGGCACCACAUCCAUCGUUUGCUCAGAGCAGCAGGGUGGGUAAUCGGGAGGCGUAAACGCAAUAAUAAAUUUCAUGGAAUUGGUGAGUAUGUUUACAAGUCAC